GACGAACGCUGGCGGCGUGCUUAACACAUGCAAGUCGAACGAAGAGCGACGGAAGCUUGCUUCUAUCAAUCUUAGUGGCGAACGGGUGAGUAACGCGUAAUCAACCUGCCCUUCAGAGGGGGACAACAGUGGGAAACGACUGCUAAUACCGCAUACGAUCUAAUCUCGGCAUCGAGGAGGGAUGAAAGGUGGCCUCUACAUGUAAGCUAUCACUGAAGGAGGGGAUUGCGUCUGAUUAGCUAGUUGGAGGGGUAAGGGCCCACCAAGGCGAUGAUCAGUAGCCGGUCUGAGAGGAUGAACGGCCACAUUGGGACUGAGACACGGCCCAGACUCCUACGGGAGGCAGCAGUUGGGAAUCUUCCGCAAUGGACGAAAGUCUGACGGAGCAACGCCGCGUGAGUGAUGACGGCCUUCGGGUUGUAAAGCUCUGUUAAUCGGGACGAAAGGCCUUCUUGCGAAUAGUGAGAAGGAUUGACGGUACCGGAAUAGAAAGCCACGGCUAACUACGUG
This 510-nucleotide ribosomal RNA is filed under the name uncultured bacterium. RNAcentral describes it as "partial 16S ribosomal RNA". It matches the Rfam family "Bacterial small subunit ribosomal RNA", at positions 28 to 507 of the family's 1533-position model. The record is from RNAcentral.